Molecule: non-coding RNA, 30 nt
Filed under: Mus musculus (house mouse)
Lineage: Eukaryota; Metazoa; Chordata; Mammalia; Rodentia; Muridae
Source: RNAcentral
UGAAACCACAGCGCCAUUUUGUAGGAACUA